CCUACGGGUGGCAGCAGUGGGGAAUAUUGGGCAAUGGGCGCAAGCCUGACCCAGCAACGCCGCGUGAAGGAAGAAGGCUCUCGGGUUGUUAACUUCCUUUAAGAGGGAAGAGCAGAAGACGGUACCUCUUCAAUAAGCUACGCCUAACUACGUGCCAGCAGCGGCGGUAAUACGUAGGUGGCAAGCGUUGUCCGGAUUUACUGGGUGUAAAGGGUGUGUAGCCGGGAAGGCAAGCCAGAUGUGAAAUCCCGCGGCUCAACCGCGGAACUGCAUUUGAAACUGUUUUUCUUGAGUACCGGAGAGGUCAGCGGAAUUCGUUGUGUAGCGGUGAAAUGCGUAGAUAUAACGAAGAACACCAGUGGCGAAGGCGGAUGACUGGACGGCAACUGACGGUGAGGCGCGAAAGCGUGGGGAGCAAACAGGAUUAGAUACCCCAGUAGUC
RNAcentral lists this ribosomal RNA (442 nucleotides) under uncultured bacterium. Its description in RNAcentral is "partial 16S ribosomal RNA". It matches the Rfam family "Bacterial small subunit ribosomal RNA", at positions 338 to 795 of the family's 1533-position model. The record is from RNAcentral.